This is a long non-coding RNA of Chinchilla lanigera (long-tailed chinchilla), 1644 nucleotides long. RefSeq lists it as uncharacterized. The record is from RefSeq and is a predicted model, not a curated record. NCBI's taxonomy places the organism in Eukaryota, Metazoa, Chordata, Mammalia, Rodentia, Chinchillidae. The transcript is spliced from 3 exons.
AACACAAGAAGUUAUCUUGAUAAAAUAUAAAACCUUUGUCCCUUAAUCUAGUUUUUAUAUUUUAAGAGCAUUUUUUUUUUUUUUUUUUUGUGGUGCUGGGGAUCAAACCCAGGGCCUUGUGCACGCAAGGCAAGAGCUCUACCACUGAGCCACAUCCCCUGCCCUAGAGCACUUGAACAUCUUAAGAAAACUUUACUGUUUUAGACAUGGAAAGCUUUAUCUUUUUAAUUACAGCCAACUUAAUAAUAUAUAAUAAUAAGUUUUAAUAACAUUUGUUGGAGUGAGGCACAAUAAGACCAUGGGGGAAACUUGAGCAGCCUCUUGUCUUCUGAGGAAGCUGAGGCAAACUGUCGGGCAGCUGCUGUGUGAGCCACUGCAGGGAGUUUUGCGCCGUAGUUCCUCGGGCCCACUGGCCCCUCACUUAGGGGAAAUUUUAAUAUUGUGUAAACAUAGAAUUAUAUAUUAGAAUGUUAACUUCAGUAUUAGCUUGUCUUAGUAAACUUAAGAAAACAAUCUUAAUCUUUAUAUAUAUUAAUAAUAGACGAAAACAUUUAACAGACCCAAAUACAUUAUCUUUUAAGAAGUCAAGAAUAUUGGAAUUUAGCAACAGAUGACUCAGAUGUUGUUAUAUUUAUAACCACUAACUUCAUUUAUAUUUAUUUAUUUACUCAUUUUAACAACUACCUCAGAUUACUCAUGAAAACCAAAACAGCAUAGUGAAGCCAUGUGUAUUAUAUUCUCCUUGACCAAGGAAAAACUCAUUGAAUACAGAAAACAAUGGGCAUUGAAUUUACAAAACCAAUUGUGUUAAGAAAAAAGUGUUAUUUUAGUUGGCUAACAACCUGGGCAAAACAGGUUACCCACCUUAAAGACAUCCUUGCCCUUCUCUUGGAACUAAUUUAAAUGAGCUCACUGUUAAGCUAGGUGGACAGAAGGCACAUGGGCUAUAUCAUGGAUAUCCACUCACCCCACAACCCAGCUUCAACAGGACUCUUGGAGGAUAACAUGAGAUUAAAAAAGCCUGAGCUCAUAAAGUGGAGGUUACUCCCCAGAGGGGACCUGUGGCCACUGCAGAAUUUGGCCCUGGGUGCUGACCAUGCACCUGCGCCAGCCCCACCCAGCCGCACAUUCCUGAGGAAAGGUCAUUCCGCAGCCACCUUCUGACCCCACUUUGCUGUUUCCUGAAUCUCCCGUAACAGGAAAAUUCCAUUUUGCGUGAAAAUAAACUUGGAGGACUUCUGCCAAGAAAGAAGUCAUGAUUCCCUUUCUCCGGCACCUUUUAUGCUCACUAGCAUCGGGCAGCAGAGAAAGCUCCCUGACGAGAUGCCCAUCUUAUCACGUGCACCUUCACGAUCAGUAACAGAGGUUGCUCAGAUGUUCAUCUCUUCUCAAGCUGACUCCAGAGAUGCUUGCUGGUCUUUGCUUUUGCCUCCCUGCAGGCAGCAGACCUGCCACAGGCAUUUGUUUUUCUGGGUCUGGAUCUCUUGCAAGAAGUUCAAAGCCUUUCUGAUUUUGCAGCAGAGUCUCCAAGGCACUUUCCUGGAGCCAAGAGAUGGUUUGUUUUGCAGAACACCUCUGCAGGAUAAUGUCCCCUUCUGUGUUCGGUCAGCUUAGGAGCCGCCGGUGCUGUCCCUGCUCAGCGGC